RNAcentral lists this ribosomal RNA (253 nucleotides) under uncultured bacterium. RNAcentral describes it as "partial 16S ribosomal RNA". It matches the Rfam family "Bacterial small subunit ribosomal RNA", at positions 524 to 776 of the family's 1533-position model. The record is from RNAcentral.
UACGUAGGGGGCUAGCGUUGUCCGGAAUCAUUGGGCGUAAAGAGCGUGUAGGCGGUCCGGUAAGUCCGCUGUGAAAGUCAGGGGCUCAACCCCUGAAUGCGGGUGGAUACUGCUGGGCUAGAGUCCGGAAGAGGCGAGUGGAAUUCCCGGUGUAGUGGUGAAAUGCGUAGAUAUCAGGAGGAACACCGGUGGCGAAGGCGCCACUCUGGGCCGAAACUGACGCUGAGGAGCGAAAGCGUGGGUAGCAAACAGG